Long non-coding RNA from Tachysurus vachellii, 813 nucleotides. RefSeq lists it as uncharacterized. The record is from RefSeq and is a predicted model, not a curated record. Lineage: Eukaryota; Metazoa; Chordata; Actinopteri; Siluriformes; Bagridae. The transcript has 3 exons.
UUCUUAUAGUUGAGCAAAGAAUUCACCAGGCUUGUGUCACAAGACCUGAGCAAGUCCUUUUUUGAAGGCCUAGAUCGUCAUCUCUCGAAGCUUAUACAGUUAUUCAGGUCAAAGCGUUAUGAGGACAUUCCAGAAAUGACGUCAAUACUGCAGAGCCUUCAUAAGGAUACAACAAACCAAAAGAUGAGGACAGGAGCAUUGCUAGGUCUGCCAUGGUACAUGCGAGCCCAGUGACUGUGAAGAGGAUGUGAUCAAGGGUGUGGUGAUUGGAAUUCUUGUGGUUGUGGAAAAUGUGAUGGAACCUCUCCCAGCAUUCUACAAUGACGUUGCCCUGGUGAUUGUGGAAGAAGUGGUAAUGUGUCACCUGACAUACGUAAAGCUUUUCUGAACCUGAUGGGCCUGGUGUAUGCAUUAAAUCUUGACUACCCAAAGGAACUAAAAUUCACUUUUGAAGUGAUACAGCGGCUGUUUAUUGGAGUUGGAUCAGACUCUUGCACCGCAAGAGUUCACUCUUUGAAGACCAAGUUGCUGCGAUAAGAUAAAACAAACAAAACCCUUUUUCCAUUUUGCUACUGUUUAUUUGUUGUACUGGUUUAAAUUUUAAGAGCAUUGUUGUUUUUAGAUCUCUGUUUUAAGUGGGAAAUUGGUAUUCUUGAAAUCUAUCUUUUUCUAUGAUUGGGAAUUGAAGACAGUUUUUGAACAGUUUAAUGUAAAGUUUAACACAACCUAUUGUGAAUUAUUCAAGUACACUUGUUCUUGCAAUGAAUAUAUCUGAUGACAAGGAGAGUUAUUUUUACUAUUUUGGCUCUAAGA